ACAGUGGCUCCUUCUUGCGGUUUAACUCACCGGAGGUGAGUGACGGGAUCCGCGGACCUUCCUUCCGGAUGAUAUAAUCUUUACCCUGGGUAAACUUUUCCGCGUCCCCUUGGUGGUCGGAUUGGGGGAGGAGAGGAGACGGUCCGCGGGAGAGAAAGGCAUGGCGACGCUCCGAUAAAAGAAAAGAACAACGAGAGCGGAAGGAGGGCGGAGAAAGGACGAGAUCGUCCCUUUCUACAGACCCGGGCUCGUUUUUUCCUUUUAUUCUCUUGACUUGGACCACGGCCUCUGGGGUUCUUCUUCCAGCUUCUGCGAAGAGGGGCAGGCGAUCCGGCGUCGUCUUUGGUAUUGCUAGUCGCUUCUUUAAUCCGAUCGGUAUCGUAAGUGGAGGCUUUCUUGAGUUCGGCAUCGGAUCUCGUGAUAUCCGUUCGGUUGUUCGGAGCUCCCUCGCAGGUUUCACUAUUAUGCUGACAUUUUCUCAUGGGCUCUUGGAACUGAUAUUUCCUGUAGCUUAUAGGAACUUGAUACCUUUGUGCAGUACUUGUUUUCUGUACUUAUGCCCUGAAAAUUCACUUAGAAGAAAGAGAUGCCGAAAUCUACCCACCAUCAGAAUGUUAGUUCACCGAGAGGAUUAGCCCAGCAAUCUGUUCGUUGUAUGAGCAGCAGACGUUCUCAAACAGGAACUGGGCAGCAUUCUUCUCCAACUGUAUUUCCAGAAAAAAGAGGCAAGACCAAAUCUUUGAAGCAGAGUGAUGAUGGUGUCGCCAAUGAAGGCCCUGAAAAGGUAAAGGCACAUGAGCACAGAAUAGAUAUUGGAGACGAGAGUUCUGAUCUGUUAGGGUAUGACGUCUUCUGUGGGAAACUUGCACUGGAUAAGAAAGCUAAAAUAACGAGUGCUGAUGAGCGGAUGGGGUCAGGAACUGGAAACCCUGAUAGCAUUGAUGCAAGACUUACGAGCAAAGCCCUGAUCUGGGGUUCUCAUAUGCUAAGACUUGAGGAUGUCAUAUCUGUGUCAUAUAAUUCUGGUCUCCGGCAUUUUCUUGUACAUGCAUACCCUGUUACAAAGAGGUCAUGUGGACUUUCUUGUUUUUUGAAGCCACAAAGGAUUAGAAAGGACUUCCGCUUCCUGGCUCCUAGUACAGAGGAAGCUAUUCAGUGGGUUAGUGGCUUUGCAGAUCAGCAGUGCUUUGUAAAUUACUUACCUCAUCCCAUGGUAUCAGGUAAGAAGCAGGCCCCUGACAUUGUCACAAGUGAGCCUCUAUUUGAUCAGCUGUACUUCAAAUGUAAAAGUCCUCCAAAAGUUCUUGUAAUAUUGAAUCCUCGAUCUGGACAUGGCCGAUCAAGUAAAGUUUUCCAUGGCAAAGUGGAACCAAUUUUCAAGCUUGCAGGUUUUAUGAUGGAGGUAGUUAAUACAAAAUAUGCAGGUCAUGCAAAAGAGCUUGCUUCUACUGUUGAUUUCCGCACAUGCCCAGAUGGAAUUAUAUGCGUUGGUGGUGAUGGAAUUGUGAAUGAGGUGCUCAAUGGUCUUCUCAGUAGAAGUGAUCAGAAGGAAGCAAUUUCCAUUCCUAUUGGGAUAAUUCCUGCUGGUUCUGACAAUUCACUUGUUUGGACUGUUCUGGGAGUUAGAGAUCCGAUUUCUGCUGCGAUAGCUAUUGUGAAGGGGGGCUUGACAGGUACAGAUGUUUUUGCCGUUGAAUGGAUUCAGAAUGGGGUUAUACACUUUGGUACAACAGUUACAUACUUUGGGUUUGUCAGUGAUGUUCUGGAGCUCUCUGAGAAAUAUCAGAAGCGUUUUGGUCCUCUUCGGUACUUUGUGGCUGGUUUUCUUAAAUUUCUAUGCUUGCCCAAGUACAACUUUGAGUUGGAAUAUCUUCCGAUGACGAAGGAGGCAGUAGACUCUCAAGGCAAGGUUUUGGAAGAUCAAGAAAAAAUUGAUAUGUCAGACCUCUACACAGACAUAAUGCGGAGGUCAAAAACUGAAGGCAUCCCCAGAGCUUCCAGUUUGUCCAGCAUUGAUUCAAUUAUGUCUCCUAGUAGGAUGUCUGGGGGUGAAUUCGACACUUCAGGUAGCACUCUUGCAAGCAAUGAGCCAUCUGAAUAUGUUCGUGGUCUUGAUCCCAAAUCAAAGCGUUUAUCCCUAGGGAGGAACAAUUUAGUGGCGGAACCAGAUGAAGUCCUUCACCCUCAGCCUCACCUUUCCUCCAACCCUAACUGGCCAAGGACUAGGUUAAAGUCACGGACAGAUAAAGGUUGGACUGGCUUGACUGCUACAAAUGAUUCCAGGGGUCCUUGGGCAGCCACGGCAUUGUAUGACAAAGAAGAUAUUUCCUCAACGGUAUCUGAUCCUGGACCUAUCUGGGAUACUGAGCCAAAGUGGGAUACUGAACCUAACUGGGAAACUGAGAAUUCCAUUGAGCUGCCUGGGCCACCAGAUGACGUAGAAUUAGGGAUAAAGAAGGAACUUGCUCCAAAGUUGGAGGAGAAGUGGGUAGUUAAGAAGGGGAAAUUUCUUGGCGUUUUGGUAUGCAACCAUUCAUGCAAGACUGUCCAGAGUUUAAGUUCCCAGGUUGUUGCACCAAAAGCUGAACACGAUGAUAACAGUUUGGACUUGCUAUUGGUCAAUGGAAGUGGCAGAAUGAGGUUGUUAAGAUUCUUUGUGCGCCUUCAAUUUGGUCAGCAUCUUUCUCUGCCGUAUGUCGAGUAUGUUAAGAUUGCAUGGUUGGUUAGCAUUAUAAGGUUGGCCUUCACUUCCAUUGGCAUCCAAUCCUUGCAGGUGAAAUCAGUGAAGCUUAGGCCUGGAAUUAAUACUCACAAUGGCUGUGGAAUUGAUGGGGAACUUCUUCGUGUAAAAGGACAAGUCUUGUGUUCUUUGCUUCCAGAGCAAUGCAGGCUGAUUGGUCGUCCUGCCAGAGAUCGUAUGUGAGGGCCGUAAGCUCCACUGCUAACAACCUGUAUGAGAUGUGGGUGUGGUAUACUCGGAGCACUCACUAUCUCAAACAUGGAUCAGACCAGCUUUGUUAUUUCAGAGGUCUCUGUAGAUUUUGAGUGCUUGACCAUCGUGCGUAUGAUUUUUUUAUCUUCAUCGACGUACAACACUUUUGUCGUUUGUAGCGGCCUGCCGUGUGUCCGUUCUGUCGUGCAGGAUUUUGGGAUGCUUUCUUGGCCUCGGCGGAGUUCAUUCCUAUACAUUUGUAAUUAUAGUGUCAGAGUAUCAAUAUUUCUUUUUCAGCUGAAUCACCAUUAUUUCAAUAUUCUACUAAUUUCCAGAUUUUACAAAGCUUAGCUGCUGUCAAGGUUGUUUUUAUAUUAGACCUGGAUUUUUGGAGUUUUAUCUGGCCUUUUCAAAUGUCAAAUCAGAUCUCAAUCCUCCGGUGGUUUGUGUACAUAAUAAUUCUAUGUGGUAUGUUAGCAUUUGAUGAAAAUUAAUAUUUUAUGUGUGGUAUGCUAGUAAUUGAUGUAUAAUUAGAAGUGUUAUUUUUGCUGACCAUAUAUUCUAUUAUCUGUUGUGAAUUAUGGGUGUGCGACUCAGCUCCCCAAAUCCCUCUCCACCUUUGCACUUCAUCUAACGUUGUAAGAAGGAAAAGUUGAAGGGCGAAAGCAAAGCCAUGGGAAAUAGCCAUUAGAGAACAUCAUGAAGCACGGGACGGUGUGGAUGGCAUGUAUUACAGGUGCGGGGUCUCGAGAGGCUUCUCUUUUCAAGAGGCUGAUCAGGCCUGUACGCAUGAAUCAAGCCAGGCGGAGGCUACUUCUAUUGUGUGUUGCUGAAUGCCGCUACUUGAUGAAACUAUGUAGUAGUGAUUGCUCUCCACAUAAGAGUCAGCUCCACCGGUGAUGGGUCAAGAUAUCCUAUAGGUUGUCCAUCGCUGGCGGAUGCAAUUGGCUUUGAUGUUAUUGAUCACCUGAUGGAAUCGAUCAGCUCUUUU
Molecule: non-coding RNA, 3923 nt
Organism: Elaeis guineensis (African oil palm)
Lineage: Eukaryota; Viridiplantae; Streptophyta; Magnoliopsida; Arecales; Arecaceae
Source: RefSeq, a predicted model, not a curated record